AAAGUCCAGCGCAUAAUCUCCCGGGUUACCAAACCUGCGGCGAAAUGUUGCGUUAAGGGAAAGGUCGUUUCUAAGCCCUGCACAGCGUGUUCCUAAAUACGUUUUGAAUAAGCGCUGUCUCCCAACGGAGGCUACGGUUCCACAGAGGGUGACAGACCCGUGUGGGCACGCGUAUAUAUGUGCGUGGGUUCGGCUUUUAUUCCCUGAGAGUCGCGUUGCUUGAGCAUGCAGCGCUAAGCAGGUCGUAAACUCGACCUAAGACUAAAUAUUUCCACAGAACCGAUAGUAAACAAGUACCGUGAGGGAAAGUUGAAAAGCACUCUGAAGAGAGAGUCAAAAGACCGUGAAACCGUUUAGAGUAUAAGCCAAUGGUAUUUCGGAAGGCCGGGAGCACCGACUUCCCUUUUGGGAGACGGUAUCGUGUGUGUAAAAAAGAUGGGGGUCGUGCAAGAAAGUGGCAUUGAGUUGAUAUCACGGCAUCGACAACUUGCGGGUCUCUGACAGUGGUAACAGGGAAGGUUCUAAUGAGGAUCCGACCCGAGGCUGGACUUGAAUGCAAGCGACUCUCAAUCGACACACAAACGAGUGUCUCCAUACGGCCCACCACAACUCUUUACGAAGUCACCCACAUGACACGGCGAGUCGAUGCGAGCCCCUGUUCAAUAUGCUGCGGGCAGGGCCGGGCGACUCAAUCGUGUUUCCAACGUGUGCUGGUACGAUCUUCUGUGAAGGUUGCUUUCUGACCAUCCUGAUACGUGGAUGUUGGCCUCUUAGACUGUUGGAGUCCGGCUUACUGGCCCAGCCAGGUGCUAGUUAGAACUGCAUUCGUGGCGGAUGAUUGGUGUCCAUUCCGAAACCAUUGGUCACGUCUCGAAACACGGGCCAAGGAGCAUAGCAUGUGCGCAAGUCUAAGGGUCUCACAAAACCUGGAGGCGAAGUGAAAGCAAGUGGUGUGUCUGUCGCUCGCCAGAGAGGCAGGCAGCUCUGUGAUGCACGUAAUUCCUACGUGGAUGAAUGCGUCUCAGGCUUAAUACCGGGCUGAUCCUUACGUAAACAAGACGAAUGUCGCUACGACGGCGCAAGCUCCAGGCUCUCAACAUGGGACGCCGUCUCUAUGGGAGCACUGUGUAGCGUGCAUGCUAUGACCCGAAAGAUAGUGAACUAUGCCUGGCGA
RNAcentral lists this ribosomal RNA (1174 nucleotides) under Parepimeria minor. RNAcentral describes it as "partial 28S ribosomal RNA". It matches the Rfam family "Eukaryotic large subunit ribosomal RNA", at positions 104 to 843 of the family's 3401-position model. Lineage: Eukaryota; Metazoa; Arthropoda; Malacostraca; Amphipoda; Amathillopsidae. The record is from RNAcentral.